GCAUUGAUGGUCUAGUGGCUAUGACUGCGGCCUUCCAAGCCGCAAACCCGGGUUCGAAUCCCGGUCGAUGCA
RNAcentral lists this transfer RNA (72 nucleotides) under Methanimicrococcus blatticola. It matches the Rfam family "tRNA". Rfam says of the family: Transfer RNA (tRNA) molecules are approximately 80 nucleotides in length. Their secondary structure includes four short double-helical elements and three loops (D, anti-codon, and T loops). Further hydrogen bonds mediate the characteristic L-shaped molecular structure. tRNAs have two regions of fundamental functional importance: the anti-codon, which is responsible for specific mRNA codon recognition, and the 3' end, to which the tRNAs corresponding amino acid is attached (by aminoacyl-tRNA synthetases). tRNAs cope with the degeneracy of the genetic code in two manners: having more than one tRNA (with a specific anti-codon) for a particular amino acid; and 'wobble' base-pairing, i.e. permitting non-standard base-pairing at the 3rd anti-codon position. The record is from Rfam by way of RNAcentral. RNAcentral also lists the same sequence under 2 other names. Lineage: Archaea; Methanobacteriati; Methanobacteriota; Methanomicrobia; Methanosarcinales; Methanosarcinaceae.